GAUUAUAUUCCUACGGGAAGCAGCAGUGAGGAAUUUUCACAAUGGACGAAAGUCUGAUGGAGCAAUACCACGUGAACGAUGAAGGUCUUCUGAUUGUAAAGUUCUUUUAUUUAGGAAAAAAAGCGCGCUAGGAAAUGAGCGCGCCUUGAUGGUACUAAUUGAAUAAGUGACAGCUAACUAUGUGCCAGCAGCUGCGGU
Molecule: ribosomal RNA, 198 nt
Filed under: uncultured Mycoplasma sp.
Lineage: Bacteria; Bacillati; Mycoplasmatota; Mollicutes; Mycoplasmatales; Mycoplasmataceae
Description: partial 16S ribosomal RNA
Rfam family: Bacterial small subunit ribosomal RNA
Source: RNAcentral